AAAGAAUGUGUGAAAAUGUAUAGGUAUACCUGAGUCUUUACAAAAGAACCCACCAAAAAAAUAUGUAAACAAAACACUAUAGACAUGGAUCCUAUCUCUUUCAUUAUCUAAUUAAUGCAGACCCAAACAACCAAAGACAUCAGGAAGAGGAGUCUAGUUUUUAUUUUAAAACUUCAAAAAAUGAAGAUAUUAUAA
Telopea speciosissima is the source of this 195-nucleotide long non-coding RNA. RefSeq lists it as uncharacterized. The transcript has 2 exons. The record is from RefSeq and is a predicted model, not a curated record. Lineage: Eukaryota; Viridiplantae; Streptophyta; Magnoliopsida; Proteales; Proteaceae.